This 127-nucleotide non-coding RNA is filed under the name Penicillium expansum. RNAcentral describes it as "TPP sequence". It matches the Rfam family "TPP riboswitch aptamer (THI element)". From Rfam's summary of the family: Vitamin B(1) in its active form thiamin pyrophosphate (TPP) is an essential coenzyme that is synthesised by coupling of pyrimidine and thiazole moieties in bacteria. The record is from Rfam by way of RNAcentral. Lineage: Eukaryota; Fungi; Ascomycota; Eurotiomycetes; Eurotiales; Aspergillaceae.
AGUACGCAUGACGGGUGUUCGAGGUCUUGCGUUUUUGGUCUUCCAAAAGCGCGAGUCUCGUUCUGAGAAAUUACCGUUAGAACUUGAUCUGGACAAUACCAGCGAAAGGACAUGCAUACUUCAUCCC